This is a long non-coding RNA of Arachis stenosperma, 351 nucleotides long. RefSeq lists it as uncharacterized. The record is from RefSeq and is a predicted model, not a curated record. The transcript has 3 exons. NCBI's taxonomy places the organism in Eukaryota, Viridiplantae, Streptophyta, Magnoliopsida, Fabales, Fabaceae.
GGAUCACUUUAUGAGAUUUCUCACUGAAACUAGACAACUUCCUCUGUUAUGGCACCAAUCACUUAUUGCAUUUGUGCACAGGUACAAAAAUCAACUACAGGACAAAAAUAAAGAUCGUUUAAUGAUUCUAUUGCAAAAGCAUGAACCAUUUACGCAUGAGAUCAUUAGAGAGCUAAACGAUAACUAGUUGCGUCAGACCUUCAAUGAAUCUUUUGAACCUGGCAUACCAUAAUAUGAAGCUAAGAUAUCUAUACACAAGUUUAUUUUUUUUAUUUUUAGAUAUUAACAGAGUUAAGUUUUAAUUUUAACAAAAAUAAUGUACAUUUUUUUUCUUCUGUUAAUGUAAUAGUG